GCAAUAGCCCUGCUCCUUCCAGAGGAGGUUUGCCCUGUGCUGGGUUAAAGGAGGAAGUCACGGUGUGCAACAACAACAAAUGCCCAGUUGAUGGGAUGUGGUCUCCAUGGGCAUCCUGGACUCCCUGCCCCAUCUCUUGCGGCCUAGGUGUGGUGAGCCGAUCUCGACGAUGCAAUAAUCCUGCCCCAGAGCAUGGGGGAAAGAAUUGCACUGGACACAGAUAUGAGGAAGGUUCUUGUGGAUUUCCAGAGGACUUUUGCAAAUAUUUGAAGCGACCAUCUGAAUCCAUUAUACCUGGGAAACUGAUCCAGUAAUCAGUCUAAAGAAGUUAGUGUGCUGAAAAACUGUUGAAAUUCACUGGCCUCUAACUCACUUCUAUGCCUUUUAAAAGCCCAGCUGUACUGAAAAGUUCCAAAAGAAACCUGCCUCAAUAGAAAACUUAAAGUCAUGAUACUUAUCGGAAA
This is a long non-coding RNA of Gopherus flavomarginatus (Mexican gopher tortoise), 464 nucleotides long. RefSeq lists it as uncharacterized. NCBI's taxonomy places the organism in Eukaryota, Metazoa, Chordata, Testudines, Testudinidae. The transcript is spliced from 3 exons. The record is from RefSeq and is a predicted model, not a curated record.